RNAcentral lists this ribosomal RNA (421 nucleotides) under uncultured bacterium. RNAcentral describes it as "partial 16S ribosomal RNA". It matches the Rfam family "Bacterial small subunit ribosomal RNA", at positions 360 to 773 of the family's 1533-position model. The record is from RNAcentral.
AAUCUUCCACAAUGGACGGAAGUCUGAUGUUUCAUCGCCGCGUGAGCGAAGAAGGUCUUCGGAUCGUAAUUCUCUGUUGUAAGAGAAGAACACGUACGGGACUCACUGCCCGUACCUUCACGGUACCUUAUCAGAAAGCCACGGCUAACUACGUGCCAGCAGCCGCGGUAAUACGUAGGUGGCAAGCGUUGUCCGGAAUUAUUGGGCGUAAAGCGAGCGCAGGCGGUCCUUUAAGUCUGAUGUGAAAGCCCACGGCUCAACCGUGGAGGGUCAUUGGAAACUGGAGGACUUGAGUACAGAAGAGGAAAGCGGAAUUCCACGUGUAGCGGUGAAAUGCGUAGAGAUGUGGAGGAACACCAGUGGCGAAGGCGGCUUUCUGGUCUGUAACUGACGCUGAGGCGCGAAAGCGUGGGGAGCAAAC